This 504-nucleotide ribosomal RNA is filed under the name uncultured bacterium. RNAcentral describes it as "partial 16S ribosomal RNA". It matches the Rfam family "Bacterial small subunit ribosomal RNA", at positions 29 to 523 of the family's 1533-position model. The record is from RNAcentral.
AUUGAACGCUGGCGGCAUGCCUUACACAUGCAAGUCGAACGGCAGCAUGGAGAGCUUGCCCCCUGAUGGCGAGUGGCGACCGGGUGAGUGAAGCAUCGGAACGUACCGGGUGGUGGGGCAUAACGUAGCGAAAGUAACGUUAAUACCGCAUACGCACUGAGGUGGAAAGCAGGGGAUCGUAAGACCUAGCGCUAUCCCAGAGGCCGAUGUCAGAUUUGCUAGUUGGUAGGGUAAAGGCCUAUCAAGGCGACGAUCGGUAGCGGGUAUGAGAGGAUGAUCCGGCACACUGGGACUGAGACACAGCCCAGACUCCUACGGGAGGCAGCAGUGGGGAAUUUGGGACAAUGGGGGCAACCCUGAUCCAGCCAUGCCGCGUGAGUGAAGAAGGCCUUCGGGUUGUAAAGCUCUUUCGGCCGGGAAGAAAUCGCACAGGCUAAUACCCUGUGUGGAUGACGGUACCGGCAUAAGAAGCACCGGCUAACUACGUGCCAGCCGCCGCAGUAA